CAUUCACGAGCACUCUUCACCCUGAAUUCCUUUCUUCAGUUACGAACUGGUAGACUUUCACAUUCACAUGCCUCCAUCCACUAGUGCCAUUGAUGAGCAACCCUUUUUCAUUCAGCACUGAGCACAUUGUCCUGCAACAUGCUCCCCCACUCUGAGUCAUUGACACCCACAACAAACUUAGACAUCUAAUUCCUCUGAACUUAGACUUCAAAUUCACAUUGCUUUGGAUACCCCCGUAUCUGCAACCAAAACAUGCAACUUGAUACCAC
This 269-nucleotide long non-coding RNA is filed under the name Elaeis guineensis (African oil palm). RNAcentral describes it as "long non-coding RNA (EGUI_LNC070934)". The record is from RNAcentral. Lineage: Eukaryota; Viridiplantae; Streptophyta; Magnoliopsida; Arecales; Arecaceae.